RNAcentral lists this unclassified non-coding RNA (1980 nucleotides) under Hevea brasiliensis (rubber tree). Lineage: Eukaryota; Viridiplantae; Streptophyta; Magnoliopsida; Malpighiales; Euphorbiaceae. The record is from RNAcentral.
UUGGCGAACAAUUUCAUGAGCCAUCCCUUGCAACAAAUCAUGCAUCCCUAUCUUGUUUUCUGAAAUUGUGAUGAGGCACUUAUCAGCUAGAACACUAAUUCCAAUAUCAGAACCAUCUAGUAAACUUUUUACGAAAUUAACUUGUUGGCCUUUAAAGAAACACGCAAUAUCAAGAAAUAUACACUUCUCUUCAUCAUCUAGCAAAUCAUAACUAAUUCUUAACACGUUAUGAAUUUUUUGGAGGGGAACCCUUUCAAGUUUGUUCAAUGCACUUUCCCACUCACUUUUACUCCUGUCAAAUAAAAGAGAACCCAAAACUUUAACUGCCAAUGGAUUGCCUUGAGCAGUACUCACAGCCCUCGUUGAUAGCUCUACAAGAUCCAUUUUGGGAUAGUUUUCCUUAAAAGCAUUUAAACUAAAGAGCUGGAGAGCUCCAUGAUCGUUCAAUCCCUCAACUUCAUAUAUUUCGUCAACUACAUUCUUAAGCAAUUGUCUAUCUCUAGAUGUUAUGAUAACUCUACUUCCAAGGCCAAACAUAUCCCGUGUUCCAAUUAGGAAUUCCACUUGAGCUAUAUCAUUCACAUCGUCAAGAACAACCAAAACCUUUUUACGUCGAAGCCUUUCCUUUAUAGAAGUGGAUCCUAUACUGGGAGUGCUAAUAUGAAGAUUUUCUUCCUCUAAGAUUUUAGAAAGAAGUUCUUCUCUUAAAUGGAUUAGUCCCCCACAUUUUUCUGAUUCUUCCCUGACAUUUGAAAGAAAGCAAGAACCUUCAUAUCUACUCGAGAUAGUAUUGAAAAUAGCACCAGCAAUAGUUGUUUUACCAAUACCACCCAUACCCCAAAUACCUACAAUACGGACAAUGGGCAAUCCGGUGCAUAACAAAGUUUUAACUUGUCUAACGCGUGAAUCCAUUCCAACUAGGCCUUUUGAAUCACUUGACGACCCACAACUCAAUUUCUUCAAAAUAUGUUCCACAAUUUCAUUCACUAGUUUGGACUCAGGCCUAAUCAUGUAGGAAUCCCAUCCAGAUAUAUUUGCUGCUUUGGUGAAGUCAGCUCUCCACCUGGGGAACUUGUCCAUUUUCUCCUUAAAAUUCCUCUCAAGCUCAAGGAAAGCAUUUCCAAAGUUUCCACUUAGUUCUUCUACAUUACAUGGAUUUACAUGGUAGAAAACAGGCAAAACAAUUUGCCCAUGAGUUUGCUUGCAUUCAAGUAUUUUCACCAAUUCAUCCACGCACCAUGGAGAAGUUGCAUAGUUUUCUGAGAAUAUGAUUACUGAAAUUCUUGAUUCUUCGAUCGUUUUCAAAAGUGCAGGUGUUAUUUCUUCUCCUCUUUCAAGUUCAUUGUCCAUGAAGGCCCUUAUUUUUUUACGACACAAAGCGUCGUAAAGAUGGCUAGUAAAAUUUUCACGUGUAUCCUUUCCGCUAAAACUAAGAAACACAUCAUACUUCCAUUGAGCCAUGGUGGACACCAUAUUUGACAGGUAAAAAAUAAAUCUAUGAAGGGCUAUUUUGAUCUCAGUGGGAGGAUGAUCGAUCCGUCAAAGCCUGCGAACGUUCGUUUCGAUCCACCGCCGACGUCCACGAGAGUGAAGAAUUAGUCCUGCUUUGUGAUUGAAGAAGAGAAAAUUAGUCCAACGCGAGCGUGUUCUUCCUUUAAUUAUUCUUUCAUUUAUUUUUGAAUCCCUACCAUCAGUCUAUAAUAUAUAAUGUAGUGAAUUAUUUUAGGUAAAUUAUUUUUUGGUCCCUGUAUACAUCUCCCACUUUGAAAAAUCGAUAAUAAGAAGCAUAGAUUUGAAAGCAUCUCUUGCUAUCCAUGUGUCUUGCUUAACCGUGUAUCUGCUAUGGGAAAUGGUCAGAUGGUUGAUGAGUCUUCCAUCUCCGAAUGGGAGGAUGGAAUCAGAUCGGGGCCAUGUGAUGGGUAUAGGGGGCGUUGAUAAUGUUUCCAUGUGCAUUGGACGUUUUGGGGGAUAACAUCUUUG